CUUUUGUUCAGGGCCAUUAUCUUAUGUUGUACCCAUAUCCAUGGCUGCUCCACAGAAAGUUGAAGCCCUGAACCACUGACAGAAAGGAGCGAAUUCUUAAUGGCCUCACUCAGCAUGAUGUGCCGUCCUCACUCAGCACAGUGUGCCAUCUUCAGAACUGGACAGACACCUGGCAGCUUGAAGUACACAGUGACAGAGUCAACUCCACAAAACACUGAAAUUCUGACUACAGCUUUCCCAGAGCAUGUGUGGAGAGGAGACACCUCAGCCACUCAAAUCAUACUGAGAUGCUGGUAAUCCCUAAGCCUUCCAGACACCAAGGUCAACCAAAAAGGCAGCAAGCAUCCGGUCCUACUGCGGACCAUGUCUUCUGCCUACAUGUCAAGCUGCAUGUGUCACCCAGCCCAGAGUACAAAUGUCAGAGUAUCACCAGAAGCCCUGGCAAGAUGCUGCUUUCUGAAGAGGUUCUGAUAAUCUCCAUGCUCUCCUGUAUCUGAAGGUCUCUCACCAUGUGUGUUACAUCGUUACUGCGAAGACACAGCAAAGACUCAAGGGAAAGAGAAAGAAACAAAUAAAAACUAUAACUCAUUCCUAGUACAGAGUCUGCUGCACAUAGGGAAGGCAAUAGGAGUCACACAUUUGUGUCUCCAGCUGGUGUCAAAUGUGCACUUGGAAGAUGCAUCUCCCUGGAGCAAGAGGUCUCAGGGCAGGUGUGGGAGGGGCGGGGCCACUGAUGGGAGUGGUGAGAACAUCUGGACCCUUGGCUCCAUUGGCUCAGCGACUUGACAGGAAAUCAAAUAUUAUAGAAAGGAAAAGGGUCGUGCCUGUGUCCCGCGUGUGAGAGACUUGCAGGACUACAGAGAAGGUUGUGGUCAUCUCUGCCUGACAGCAUUGCAGCUGUGCUGGACCACACUUGGAAAGUAUCUUAGCUACCACAACAGCAGGAAGUCAUAGGAGCUCACAUCUAUCCUUCUCGGCACCCUUAAACGUGCUUUCUACUGUCCUGGGCAAGCAUUGAAGGACAAUUCAUGAAGAAAAUGGAAAAUUCUCCCCAAGAUGCCUGCUUUUGAUCACUCCUGAAAGCUUAUGUGAACUUGGUUAAAAUAUUUGCUGUCUGGCUUAUGAGAUGGCUCAGAAAAUGAAAGCCCUUGCUAUG
RNAcentral lists this long non-coding RNA (1156 nucleotides) under Mus pahari (shrew mouse). RNAcentral's name for it is "lncRNA (MGP_PahariEiJ_G0005997.1)". Lineage: Eukaryota; Metazoa; Chordata; Mammalia; Rodentia; Muridae. The record is from RNAcentral.